This 497-nucleotide ribosomal RNA is filed under the name uncultured bacterium. RNAcentral describes it as "partial 16S ribosomal RNA". It matches the Rfam family "Bacterial small subunit ribosomal RNA", at positions 28 to 507 of the family's 1533-position model. The record is from RNAcentral.
GAUGAACGCUGGCGGCGUGCCUAAUACAUGCAAGUCGAGCGAACGGACGAGAAGCUUGCUUCUCUGAUGUUAGCGGCGGACGGGUGAGUAACACGUGGAUAACCUACCUAUAAGACUGGGAUAACUUCGGGAAACCGGAGCUAAUACCGGAUGAUAUUUUGAACCGCAUGGUUCAAAAGUGAAAGACGGUCUUGCUGUCACUUAUAGAUGGAUCCGCGCUGCAUUAGCUAGUUGGUAAGGUAACGGCUUACCAAGGCAACGAUGCAUAGCCGACCUGAGAGGGUGUUCGGCCAAAAAGUAACUGUGACACGGUCAAGACUCCUAAGUGAGGCAGCAGUAGGCAAUCUUACGCAAUGGGGGAAAGCCUGACGGAGCAACGCCGCGUUAGUGAUUAUGGUUUUCGGAUCGUAAAGCUCUGUUAUUAGGGAAGAACAUAUGUGUAAGUAACUGUGCAGAUCUUGACGGUACCGAAUCAGAAAGCGACGGCUAACUACGUG